This 425-nucleotide ribosomal RNA is filed under the name uncultured bacterium. RNAcentral's name for it is "partial 16S ribosomal RNA". It matches the Rfam family "Bacterial small subunit ribosomal RNA", at positions 354 to 796 of the family's 1533-position model. The record is from RNAcentral.
GUGGGGAAUCUUGCGCAAUGGGCGAAAGCCUGACGCAGCCAUGCCGCGUGAAUGAUGAAGGUCUUAGGAUUGUAAAAUUCUUUCACCGGGGACGAUAAUGACGGUACCCGGAGAAGAAGCUCCGGCUAACUUCGUGCCAGCAGCCGCGGUAAUACGAAGGGGGCUAGCGUUGCUCGGAAUUACUGGGCGUAAAGGGCGCGUAGGCGGACAGCUUAGUCAGAGGUGAAAGCCCAGGGCUCAACCUUGGAAUUGCCUUUGAUACUGGCUGUCUUGAGUUUGGGAGAGGUGAGUGGAACUCCAAGUGUAGAGGUGAAAUUCGUAGAUAUUCGGAAGAACACCAGUGGCGAAGGCGACUCACUGGCCCAAUACUGACGCUGAGGCGCGAAAGCGUGGGGAGCAAACAGGAUUAGAUACCCUUGUAGUCC